RNAcentral lists this ribosomal RNA (753 nucleotides) under Homidia tiantaiensis. Its description in RNAcentral is "eukaryotic LSU rRNA". It matches the Rfam family "Eukaryotic large subunit ribosomal RNA", at positions 62 to 627 of the family's 3401-position model. Lineage: Eukaryota; Metazoa; Arthropoda; Collembola; Entomobryomorpha; Entomobryidae. The record is from RNAcentral.
AAACUAACAAGGAUUCCCUGAGUAACGGCGAGCGAAAAGGGAAUAGCCCAGCGCCGAAUCUCUUGUCCUCCGGGCAAGAAGACAUGUGGCGUUUGGGACGAGGCUUUGCCUGUGCAGAAUGGUCAUCCAAGUCCCUCUUGAACGGGGCCAUAGCCCAUGGAGGGUGCUAGGCCCGUAUGAUGACUUUAUUGUGCAGUGCGUCUCGUCCGUAGAGUCGGGUUGCUUGGGAGUGCAGCCCAAAUCAGGUGGUAAACUCCAUCUAAGGCUAAAUAUGACCACGAGACCGAUAGCGAACAAGUACCGUGAGGGAAAGUUGAAAAGAACUUUGAAGAGAGAGUUAAAAAGUACGUGAAACCUCUCGGGGGUAAGCGGGCAGAACUUGCAAGUAUUGGCUGGGAACAUUCAGGCUUAGUGUUGGUGGCUUGUGAUGCACGUUUUGUUGCUCUUUCGGGAGUUGACUGCCGUGUGUUGCUUGUUCUACUGACGAUGCGCCGCAUUUGUUCCUGUCAUCGGGUUGCAUGCGACUUGAUGGUAGUUUAGGUGCUGGGUGUUUGCAAAUCCUUGUGGUUUGAGCCCUGGUCUCCAACUGCUGUUGUGGUCGUUGAAAUUACGAGUAGGCGCUUGUCGCGGUCAAAAGAUUUCGCGAGUUGGGUGCUUAUGAUAUGUGGACGGGUAACCGUAGCAUGUUGUCUGUACCUGCUGUCAGUGAGAUUUUGUAUUUGGCACUGCUCUGAUUGCAAUCUAAAGCAUGCG